RNAcentral lists this non-coding RNA (26 nucleotides) under Rattus norvegicus (Norway rat). Lineage: Eukaryota; Metazoa; Chordata; Mammalia; Rodentia; Muridae. The record is from RNAcentral.
UUUUAUAUUCUUCCCUUGAUUCCUUA